UGCGGUGAUGAUGGCAGGAAGGAUACACCUGUUUCCAUUUCGAACACAGAAGUUAAGCUUCUUAGCGCC
Molecule: ribosomal RNA, 69 nt
Filed under: Liquorilactobacillus oeni DSM 19972
Lineage: Bacteria; Bacillati; Bacillota; Bacilli; Lactobacillales; Lactobacillaceae
Source: RNAcentral